RNAcentral lists this ribosomal RNA (118 nucleotides) under Streptomyces mirabilis. RNAcentral's name for it is "23S rRNA. Bacterial LSU". It matches the Rfam family "Bacterial large subunit ribosomal RNA", at positions 2809 to 2925 of the family's 2925-position model. The record is from RNAcentral. Lineage: Bacteria; Bacillati; Actinomycetota; Actinomycetes; Kitasatosporales; Streptomycetaceae.
GACUCCCACCCCCUUGAGGGGUUAAGGCUCCCAGUAGACGACUGGGUUGAUAGGCCGGAUCUGGAAGGCGGGUAACCGCUGGAGGUGACCGGUACUAAUAGGCCGAGGGCUUGUCCUC